This 499-nucleotide ribosomal RNA is filed under the name uncultured Glomeromycotina. RNAcentral's name for it is "partial small subunit ribosomal RNA". It matches the Rfam family "Eukaryotic small subunit ribosomal RNA", at positions 591 to 1092 of the family's 1831-position model. Lineage: Eukaryota; Fungi; Glomeromycota. The record is from RNAcentral.
CCAAUAGCGUAUAUUAAAGUUGUUGCAGUUAAAAAGCUCGUAGUUGAAUUUCGGGGUUAGCAGGUCGGUCGUGCCAAUGGUAUGCACUGGCUCGCUGACUCCUCCUUCUUGUAGAACCGUAAUGCCAUUAAUUUGGUGUUGCGGGGAAACAGGACUGUUAAUUUGAAAACAUUAGAGUGUUUAAAGCAGGCUAGCGCCUGAAUACAUUAGCAUGGAAUAAUGAAAUAGGACGUUCGAACCUAUUUUGUUGGUUUCUAGGAUUGACGUAAUGAUUAAUAGGGAUAGUUGGGGGCAUUAGUAUUCAAUUGUCAGAGGUGAAAUUCUUGGAUUUAUUGAAGACUGACUACUGCGAAAGCAUUUGCCAAGGAUGUUUUCAUUAAUCAAGAACGAAAGUUAGGGGAUCGAAGACGAUCAGAUACCGUCGUAGUCUUAACCAUAAACUAUGCCGACUAGGGAUCGGAUGAUGUUAAUUUUUUAAUGACUCAUUCGGCGCCUUACG